AGAAAGAGGGCUUUAUGGUAUCUACCCAGAUGUGGUUUUUAUUAUACUAAUUUUCUGAUGGGGUUCAUGUAUUAGGUCAGUGCUGUGAAAUGUGGUCUGUUGGUCUCUUUUUCUCUUCUCUCCAGCUGCUUUGAAGGGCUCUGCAGCUCCAUUCUGUAACUCCUCCUGCUGAUGUCACCUGCUUUCCUGUAAAAAAAAAGCCUCAGAACCUGCCACUUUUUCUUUCACAGGAUCUGAGAGCCUCUUCCCAGAUUUUCUAGGUUCUCUAGAUGCCCAGCCCUUACCAGAACAGUAGCAUCCCUCUCUCAAGCCUUAUCCUAUCUCCCCUUCAACUUUCUUGCCAUACCUCCAUCAGAGCCUAUGUUCUAAAUGACCAGUUGCCAGGUAGGCAAUAUUCUGUAGAAGGUCCAGUGCCAGCUCCAGGCUUGCAGGCAGAGAAGCAGUGCUGCAGCUGACAAACCUGCAUCAGAAGCUGGCACAGACAGAUAUCCGCCAGACUCUGAAGGAGCAUGUGUAGAACUUUGCUGUGCAGAUGAGUAGCAGCAUGAUCUGAAGGAGGAUCCACCCAUCAAGGCUGAAGUUUCUAACAUCCUUAUUUAUCUGUCUACGAAGCACAGGAUCAGAAUUGGACCUAUGUGAUCCACCAGAUACCAUAUAAAAGUAGAUUCUAGAAGGCUGUCUUGCUAUCUGGCUCACUUCAGGGUUCGAACCUUGUUCCCACCAGACAGUGUUGGCAGUCCCCAGAGAGACCCAAAAUGAUUGGCUAUGGGGAGCUGAGAUCCUGGUUCCUAAUUUUUAAGAUUUUUUUUUUUAGUUGCAGAUGGACACAAUGCCUUUAUUUUAAUUUAUUCAUUGUUGCAAGCGAGCCAUGGACUGUGUGAGCUAUGAGCAUUCGAGUGGAUGGGAGGACUGGCCUGGUGUUAUAUGCUCUUUGGGCUGUGCAACACACAUAUGCACUUUCCUCUCUCCGUGCCUGUGACUAGCCAAGAUGUCAAUCUGCUGACCAUAAGACAUCAGGAAGCUAGACUCAAUCCUCUGAAACCUGCCCCUUGCCUUAUUUGGAAAGAACAUUCCAUGGAACUUCCUUCUGUGUGCCGCCCCCCCCCCAUUAAAAUAAAGAAUCUAGGUGCAAGUUCUCUCUUUCCAACAGACCCUUAAGGUCGAGAACUGUCCCUGAGUCCUGCAGGCAAAAUGUAUUUCUGUGUGUUGAAUGCUUCUUUCACCAUAAGUUGCUGGUGCAGCCAGAUCUUGUGAACCCAGCUCAGGUCGCCAGCCUCACUAGCUGGUAAUAAUUUAUGUGGUGCUCAGGAUUGAACCCAGUUCUUAUACAUGCUAGGCAAGCACUCUGCCACAACUCUAGACCCUAACUACCCCUUUCAGUGUUUCAGAGGUAAACAGGUAUUAGAGACUCCUGUUUAUACAACUCAUUGCCCCAUAGGGUUCUCUGAAGGACAGAACAGUAUCUGUAUGGACCACUGCACAGUGCCAAGCAGUCUUUAACUUGGGUCUUGAAACAAUCUUGAUUGAAGCAAGCCAGCCCCUUUAAGAACAUUCAUAAUAUACAAAGGCACAGUAAGCUUCUUUUCACCUGCCUGGCAGGUCAGAAGGCUAUCCCCUGCACUGCUUAAUAUUUGGUUGGUCUCCAUCAGAAAAAAAAAGGGAAUGAUGAUGACUAUCACUGACUUGUGGAUGCUCUGCUUGGCUAGUAAUGAGGCCUAGCAAGAAAAAAAAAUUAGAUCCUGGAAGUUUGGGAAGAGGAGGUAGAUAGAUCCUGGCCUCAGUGUCAUUUUUCUUCAGCAAAUGAGAACUUGAAAGUCUUCAUUUUGUGAAGUGGCAAAGAGCAAAAUGCAUAGGCUGAUUCUUAAUACCAGCAUGGUCUCUCCCUGUUAGUCCCCUUGGCCUUGUAGCACAAGGAGCACACCUGACUUUCUGGUCAUAACAAUGUUCUCAUACUUGCUUUAAUUUAAUUGAUUCUUAUCUCGCCUAGAAGAGAUACUCAAGGGUCCAGUUACAAGGGUCUCCAUAGAGCAGAGUUUACAGAUUAUUGUUCGUGAGGCUUCCAGGCCUCUCUAAGACAGGGUUGGCAAG
Molecule: long non-coding RNA, 2088 nt
Filed under: Marmota monax (woodchuck)
Lineage: Eukaryota; Metazoa; Chordata; Mammalia; Rodentia; Sciuridae
Source: RNAcentral